AAUUUUAAGGAUUUAGUCAUUAUAUCUGAAGAACUGCCUAUCUCCUUGUUUCAAAUCUUCUACAACAACAACAAUAAUAACAACAACAACAACAAUCUAGUAACAAUUCUUCAUAGAAGAUAGCUUAGAAACGGAUCACAAGUGCAAACCAUGUAGGCGGUAGGCGGAUAUAUAGAGAGAUCAAGCUCCUAAAAGCCGAAGCCCCAAGGGCCAACAACAACAACAAUAAUAAAAUCUAGCGACAAUUGCCCAUAGAAGAUAGCUUAGAAAUGGAUCACAAGUGCAAACCACGUAGGCGGUAGGCGGAUAUACACAGAGAUCAAGCUCCUAAAACCCAAGCCCCAGGGGCCAAGCACCAACUAGUUGAGGGUAUAAAGAGAACCAGACUGAUCUUUGAUUUCGGCAUCCCAUUCCCAUUACCAAAUCAAAUUAUGAGCUACUGGUCAACAAACGCUAUCCACAAGGAUAACUACAUGGAAUUUCUGAAAACUGUAGCCUGAUCUUCUUGUCACUUUCUGCAGGAAUGGGAAGGGAAAGUCCUGCGCAUAUGAGGGCAACUUAAUUAGAAAGAAGAUUUUAGCGUUUCUACAGCCUACUCUAUCAACUUGUUCAAAUUCUUAAGCAAUAGUUGAGGGGCAUUAGAUGCUCCGAUGGCCAGAAUCUUCGGUGCUCUCCUUAGCGACCACGGCUAUGGCGAUGAGUCGGAGCCCCAGAUAUCAGCGCUCGUCUUCUUAUUUUGCAUGAUCGUUGCAUCCCUUUCAGUCAUAUCGAUGGUCAUCGUUGCCUGCGGCCAGCAUCCUGACAGGGCUGACAGUGGAAGCAACAACGUUGUCUAUUAUGGGAGUGACAGCCGGAACCCUAAUGCCAAGAACAGCGGUGGUGGUGGAGAUGGCGGUGGAGAUGGCGGUGGCUGUGGAGGUGGUUGUGGCGCCUGUGGUGCCUGUGGAGGUGGUUGUGGCGGAUGAUGUGUUAAAUCCAUGCAUAUAUCAAUACUGGCCGGUAAAUGUUAUUGAUGAUGAAUUCUGCCUACCUCCUUUCUUUCUUUCUUUUUUUCCUUUUCUUUGAGAAAUUUUUUUCAUCUAUGCUCCCAUGAUCGGCAGAGAAAAAUAAUAAGCGAAACAAUUCUAAUGCAUGUGAUCAUUCUUCAGGAAAAGUUAAGAAAGUCUAAUGCUUGUAAUAUUUUAGAUUGCCUUUUUUUUAUGGAAAGCAGGCUAGAUUGUAGAAUACCCAGGAUAAAAAGCUUCAGAAAUCAGCCUAAAUUGAAGCAAAGACAAUAUGAAAAUAACUGCAAAGUUUAAAGCCAAACAAGUAAAAAACAAUAGUUGAAGAAGCGGCUAAUGGAGAUCGCAAAAGAACAGCUAGAUUCGCCUGCAGAAGAAGAAGUGAAACAUCAAAGAAAACCAGAGAAGACUAUCAGCACAGCAGGGUCUAUUGAACCAUUCAGUUGCAUAUUUUGUUGUUUUGGUUUAUCGAAAGAUUUUGUUUGGGACUAGAAAAUGGGAAUACCAUUCUACUAGAUCAUGAUUGGUGUUUUUUUUUUGUUUCUCACAUGGUUAUUGGCAUCCUUUACCACGUAGUUUUGGAAUCUUUUAAGGUCAUGAGCAAGUGGACUUCGUUUUCUAUUCUCGUGGCCACUUCCACUAGACCAACUUGGAGUAUUGCGGUAUCCCUUUCUGAACAAAAGUAUUGC
This 1690-nucleotide long non-coding RNA is filed under the name Elaeis guineensis (African oil palm). RNAcentral describes it as "long non-coding RNA (EGUI_LNC004908)". Lineage: Eukaryota; Viridiplantae; Streptophyta; Magnoliopsida; Arecales; Arecaceae. The record is from RNAcentral.